RNAcentral lists this ribosomal RNA (308 nucleotides) under uncultured eukaryote. Its description in RNAcentral is "partial 18S ribosomal RNA". It matches the Rfam family "Eukaryotic small subunit ribosomal RNA", at positions 1470 to 1796 of the family's 1831-position model. The record is from RNAcentral.
CCCUUAGACGUUCUGGGCCGCACGCGCGCUACACUGACGAAGGCAACGAGCUUUCCUUUACCGAAAGGUACGGGUAAUCUUUUGAAACUUCGUCGUGCUGGGGAUAGAUCCUUGCAAUUUUUGAUCUUAAACGAGGAAUGCCUAGUAAGCGCAAGUCAUCAACUUGCGUUGAUUACGUCCCUGCCCUUUGUACACACCGCCCGUCGCUACUACCGAUUGAAUGGUUUAGUGAGGCCUUCGGAUCCGCGACUCGUUUUGUGGAGAAGUUGGACAAACUCAGUCAUUUAGAGGAAGUAAAANUCGUAACA